CAAGAAGCCAGGUGGCACUGAGAACUCUACGUCCAUGAUGCCUUUCCUCUUACAAACAGGGGACCAAACUGAGAUGCUCGGCAGGAAUAAAUGAAGACUUUAGGCACGUGAUGACAGGAGAUAGCAUUCCUCUGACUUAAGGCUAGUGACUGGCCACCAACAAGAGCAAUCUGUCCUGCACCUCCAUAAUGCCAUCAGCUGCAAUGCCUCAUCAGGGAGACAAGAAAGAACUACUGCAUUCAGCGUACUGAUGGAAGAAGGCACCCUGUGCGUCUUUGAACCCGCUCUUUCCUCCCAGAAAACAUGGUUACACAAGGGAGGUCACUGGAGGGAAGGAGUUUGCGCAUUGCUGGUCCUGGGGCAGAACAGAGAUAAAGCCCUAGAAAAUGUCCAAGCUUUUGGCUGCAAGAAUUUGGGAUACAAACCAUGAAAAUGUGCAGUAGCACUGGGAAAAUAUCCCCUCCAGCCUUCUAUUUCCUUUCAUAUCAGCAUGAAUAUAACUAACGAGGAGCAGAAUGUGAAUAAUUUGAAAGACAGAACUAUUGUAUUUAAUGAAUAAAACACAAAUACUCUUCUCCA
RNAcentral lists this long non-coding RNA (579 nucleotides) under Phasianus colchicus (ring-necked pheasant). RNAcentral describes it as "lncRNA (ENSPCLG00000021622.1)". The record is from RNAcentral. Lineage: Eukaryota; Metazoa; Chordata; Aves; Galliformes; Phasianidae.